RNAcentral lists this ribosomal RNA (507 nucleotides) under uncultured bacterium. Its description in RNAcentral is "partial 16S ribosomal RNA". It matches the Rfam family "Bacterial small subunit ribosomal RNA", at positions 28 to 506 of the family's 1533-position model. The record is from RNAcentral.
GACGAACGCUGGCGGCGUGCCUAAUACAUGCAAGUCGAACGCUUCUUUCCUCCCGAGUGCUUGCACUCAAUUGGAAAGAGGAGUGGCGGACGGGUGAGUAACACGUGGGUAACCUACCCAUCAGAGGGGGAUAACACUUGGAAACAGGUGCUAAUACCGCAUAACAGUUUAUGCCGCAUGGCAUAAGAGUGAAAGGCGCUUUCGGGGGUCGCUGAUGGAUGGACCCGCGGUGCAUUAGCUAGUUGGUGAGGUAACGGCUCACCAAGGCCACGAUGCAUAGCCGACCUGAGAGGGUGAUCGGCCACACUGGGACUGAGACCCGGCCCAGACUCCUACGGGAGGCAGCAGUAGGGAAUCUUCGGCAAUGGACGAAAGUCUGACCGAGCAACGCCGCGUGAGUGAAGAAGGUUUUCGGAUCGUAAAACUCUGUUGUUAGAGAAGAACAAGGACGUUAGUAACUGAACGUCCCCUGACGGUAUCUAACCAGAAAGCCACGGCUAACUACGU